AUGGUUAAGUUAGAAAGGGCGCACGGUGGAUGCCUUGGCACUAGGAGCCGAUGAAGGACGGGACGAACACCGAUAUGCUUCGGGGAGCUGUAAGCAAGCUUUGAUCCGGAGAUUUCCGAAUGGGGAAACCCACUGCUCGUAAUGGAGUAGUAUCCAUACUUGAAUACAUAGAGUAUGAGAAGGCAUACCCGGGGAACUGAAACAUCUAAGUACCCGGAGGAAGAGAAAGCAAAUGCGAUUCCCUGAGUAGCGGCGAGCGAAACGGGAACAGCCCAAACCAAGAGGCUUGCCUCUUGGGGUUGUAGGACACUCUAUACGGAGUUACAAA
This 328-nucleotide ribosomal RNA is filed under the name Bacillus safensis. RNAcentral's name for it is "partial 23S ribosomal RNA". It matches the Rfam family "Bacterial large subunit ribosomal RNA", at positions 1 to 326 of the family's 2925-position model. The record is from RNAcentral. Lineage: Bacteria; Bacillati; Bacillota; Bacilli; Caryophanales; Bacillaceae.